ACUAGCAAGUGAUGAAGUGACUUAUCAUUGAGAAGGAGAAGGAUGAGGAGAGACUCAUACCUAUCCAGUAUAUCUGGGAGAGGUAAGAUCAACCAUUGCCAUAUUCCCAAACCUUUGUUGUUAGCUGAAUGC
Long non-coding RNA from Oxyura jamaicensis (ruddy duck), 132 nucleotides. RefSeq lists it as uncharacterized. The record is from RefSeq and is a predicted model, not a curated record. The transcript has 3 exons. NCBI's taxonomy places the organism in Eukaryota, Metazoa, Chordata, Aves, Anseriformes, Anatidae.